RNAcentral lists this ribosomal RNA (229 nucleotides) under uncultured bacterium. RNAcentral's name for it is "partial 16S ribosomal RNA". It matches the Rfam family "Bacterial small subunit ribosomal RNA", at positions 568 to 796 of the family's 1533-position model. The record is from RNAcentral.
CGUGUAGGCUGAAUGCCAGGUGUCGGGUGAAAGCCCUCGGCUCAACCGAGGAAUGGCCCGGCAAACCGGCAUUCUUGAGGCAGGUAGAGGUGGCUGGAACGACUGGUGGAGCGGUGAAAUGCGUAGAUAUCAGUUGGAACGCCAGAGGCGAAAGCGAGUCACUGGACCUGUCCUGACGCUGAGACGCGAAAGCGUGGGUAGCGAACAGGAUUAGAUACCCUGGUAGUCC